RNAcentral lists this ribosomal RNA (465 nucleotides) under Vreelandella stevensii. RNAcentral's name for it is "partial 16S ribosomal RNA". It matches the Rfam family "Bacterial small subunit ribosomal RNA", at positions 338 to 795 of the family's 1533-position model. The record is from RNAcentral. Lineage: Bacteria; Pseudomonadati; Pseudomonadota; Gammaproteobacteria; Oceanospirillales; Halomonadaceae.
CCUACGGGGGGCAGCAGUGGGGAAUAUUGGACAAUGGGGGCAACCCUGAUACAGCCAUGCCGCGUGUGUGAAGAAGGCCCUCGGGUUGUAAAGCACUUUCAGUGAGGAAGAACGCCUGGUGGUUAAUACCCAUCAGGAAAGACAUCACUCACAGAAGAAGCACCGGCUAACUCCGUGCCAGCAGCCGCGGUAAUACGGAGGGUGCGAGCGUUAAUCGGAAUUACUGGGCGUAAAGCGCGCGUAGGUGGCUUGAUAAGCCGGUUGUGAAAGCCCCGGGCUCAACCUGGGAACGGCAUCCGGAACUGUCAAGCUAGAGUGCAGGAGAGGAAGGUAGAAUUCCCGGUGUAGCGGUGAAAUGCGUAGAGAUCGGGAGGAAUACCAGUGGCGAAGGCGGCCUUCUGGACUGACACUGACACUGAGGUGCGAAAGCGUGGGUAGCAAACAGGAUUAGAUACCCUAGUAGUC